AUACUUCUUCGGACAAUAUACAAGGUGCUGCAUGGUUGUCGUCAGCUCGUGCCGUGAGGUGUUGGGUUAAGUCCCGCAACGAGCGCAACCCCUAUCUUUAGUUGCCAUCAGUUCGGCUGGGCACUCUAUGGAGACUGCCACCUAAAGUGGAGGAAGGUGGGGAUGACGUCAAGUCAGCAUGGCCCUUACGUCCGGGGCUACACACGUGCUACAAUGGCCGGUACAAAGGGUUGCGAAGCCGUGAGGUGGAGCGAAUCUCAAAAAGCCGGCCUCAGUUCGGAUUGGAGGCUGCAACUCGCCUCCAUGAAGUCGGAAUCGCUAGUAACCGCAGAUCAGCUACGUUGCGGUGAAUACGUUCCGGGCCUU
This 366-nucleotide ribosomal RNA is filed under the name uncultured Desulfuromonadales bacterium. RNAcentral's name for it is "bacterial SSU rRNA". It matches the Rfam family "Bacterial small subunit ribosomal RNA", at positions 1014 to 1382 of the family's 1533-position model. Lineage: Bacteria; Pseudomonadati; Thermodesulfobacteriota; Desulfuromonadia; Desulfuromonadales. The record is from RNAcentral.